AUUGUGGUGGUCUGGAAGCAAACCUAGAGCAUCUGAGAUAUGCCUGUCCGGUCCCCAUUCCCACAGAACGUGAAUGGACGCUAGACAUUCACUUAGUAUUCCGAGGAAACAAGGUGGGUUUGGCACCUGAGCUGAGGCCAUGCUGGCUCCAGAGCGAUAGAACGUUCUUUCCCAGUAUUUCCCAGGAGGCUAUUCAACAGUAUCCUACUGUGUCUAGGCAAUCCCUAAGCUCACUGGACUUGAUUUCUCCAUUAAAAUUGCUCUGGGAUCUCACAAGCUCCCCAUCUGUCUGGGGUUCAACACCCUUUUUGUCCUCUCCUAUCCUCUCCAAUUCACACAAAGGACACAGGACACAGGCUGGCUUACUAUUCACAGAAGUUUACUGACCUCCCCAGUCAGGCAGGCCGACCCUUCCAACCAGGAGAAAUGUCCACCUAGCUGCCCUCUGCUGGGUUGCAGCCUGUGUCAUGAGAGGGCACUGGAAGCAGGAGGGAGCCCUAGCUAGAACAGGCCUUACACGCAAGGGAAGCUGAGCAGAGGUCUGCACUCAACCCCACUUGAUGUUCUUCUCCUCCUCAGUCAUGGCCAUGGUGACUAGACCGGUGCCGAUAGUCCGGUUGCCAUCUCGCAGGGUGAAACGCUGGCCUUUCUCCAAGAUCAUUGGCUGCCGCAAGAUUAGGUUGAACUUCAGGUCCUCCCCGGGCAUGGCAAGCUCCUUCUCUGGGGGCAGGAUAACCCGACAGGCCAUGUCCCAAGUCAGGGAGAACAUGAUAGGCAUGAAGUGGGACACAAAGGGCUUGUGGCGGCCACCUUCCUCCUUGCUGAGGAUGUAAACCUGGGCCUCCACCUUCUGGUGGGGCUUGAUGGAACCCGGCUUGACCAUGACCAGGCCCCACGCAGUCCUCCUCCCUUCAAGCCUCAACCAGGGCCCCGAGGUUAUCUCCGGCCUCGGCCCUCUCCAGGUUCUUGUGGAACAUCUCAAUGCCUGUCACCACAGUGCGGAUGUUCUUGCUGUGUCCUAGGAGCUCACACUCGUCUCCCUUCUUUAAAAUGCCACGCUCUAGCGUACCUGUCACCACAGUGCCACGGCCAGGGACGGAGAACACCCCCUCUACAGGCAGCAGGAAAGGCUUCUCCAGGUCCCGGGUGGGCACUGGGAUGUAAGUGUCCACAGCAUCCAGUAGCUUCUGCACAGAUUUCAGGCCUAAUUCAGGGUCCCGACCCUCAAGGGCACAGAGAGCAGAGCCUACAAUGACUGGGGUCUCCUCCCCUUUAUAGCC
RNAcentral lists this long non-coding RNA (1280 nucleotides) under Macaca fascicularis (crab-eating macaque). Its description in RNAcentral is "lncRNA (ENSMFAG00000057404.1)". The record is from RNAcentral. Lineage: Eukaryota; Metazoa; Chordata; Mammalia; Primates; Cercopithecidae.